Molecule: ribosomal RNA, 484 nt
Filed under: uncultured bacterium
Lineage: Bacteria
Description: partial 16S ribosomal RNA
Rfam family: Bacterial small subunit ribosomal RNA
Source: RNAcentral
AUUGAACGCUGGCGGCAGGCCUAACACAUGCAAGUCGAGCGGAUGAAGGGAGCUUGCUCCUGGAUUCAGCGGCGGACGGGUGAGUAAUGCCUAGGAAUCUGCCUGGUAGUGGGGGAUAACGUCCGGAAACGGGCGCUAAUACCGCAUACGUCCUGAGGGAGAAAGUGGGGGAUCUUCGGACCUCACGCUAUCAGAUGAGCCUAGGUCGGAUUAGCUAGUUGGUGGGGUAAAGGCCUACCAAGGCGACGAUCCGUAACUGGUCCGAGAGGAUGAUCAGUCACACUGGAACCGAGACACGGUCCAGACUCCUACGGGAGGCAGCAGUGGGGAAUAUUGGACAAUGGGCGAAAGCCUGAUCCAGCCAUGCCGCGUGUGUGAAGAAGGUCUUCGGAUUGUAAAGCACUUUAAGUUGGGAGGAAGGGCAGUAAGUUAAUACCUUGCUGUUUUGACGUUACCAACAGAAUAAGCACCGGCUAACUUCGUG